RNAcentral lists this ribosomal RNA (380 nucleotides) under uncultured eukaryote. RNAcentral describes it as "partial 18S ribosomal RNA". It matches the Rfam family "Eukaryotic small subunit ribosomal RNA", at positions 592 to 976 of the family's 1831-position model. The record is from RNAcentral.
CAAUAGCGUAUAUUAAAGUUGUUGCAGUUAAAAAGCUCGUAGUUGGAUCUGUGGUGUGCGGUGGGCUCCGGGCACUUGUUGUCUGAGUAGCUCGCCGCUGCCAUCCUUGGGUGGAACCUGUGUGGCAUUAGGUUGUCGUGCAGGGGAUGCCCAUCGUUUACUGUGAAAAAAUUAGAGUGUUCAAAGCAGGCUUAUGCCGUUGAAUAUAUUAGCAUGGAAUAAUGAGAUAGGACUUUUUCGCUAUUUUGUUGGUUUGCGCGAAGAGGUAAUGAUUAAUAGGGACAGUUGGGGGUAUUCGUAUUCCAUUGUCAGAGGUGAAAUUCUUGGAUUUUUGGACGACGAACUACUGCGAAAGCAUUUACCAAGGAUGUUUUCAUUAA